GUGGGGGAGACUAAUGCCUUCCCCGGCUGCUGAUCUGUGCCUGAGCUGGCUAGGUCUGUGAGCCUCGAAGGUCCAGGAAGCCAACACAAACACGCUGAUUCCCCUGAACUCAUUAAAAAGAGUUUGGUUGGGUUAGAGAGAAUUCCAAUUAUUGCUCCUGGAAAACACAGCCGGGUCUAACAGUUCAGAUAUGUGACAACAGACUGGAAGCGAGUGUUCCUUUUUCAGAGAAACAAAAUGUUGACUCUUGUAGGAAUCCUAUGAGAGAGAGAUUUUUAAAUACUCAGCACAAAAGAUCUUCAGGUUGGGUAUUCUGACCGGUACCUGGGAUGUGAAGAAGGUAAAUUCAUUAACCAGAUUGUAUUUCAGGCCAGAAGAGGAAUGUCCUACGUGAACGUGAUUUAACAGCUCCAUCGCCUGGGGCCACGUGGAAUUCUUGAAGCAGCUGUGUCAGACAUCCGAGUCAAGUUGGGGCAUGAGUGACCUCUCAACAUCUAAUGGAGCAUUUACUCCUUAGGCAGUUGAUGACAAUAGUUCUCCAAACCUGCUGAUCCCAAGGUGGCAGGUUUCCCGGUCAGCUGUGGCUCUGAAGUAGGAGGGGUUUGCAGGAGUAUCACACACAGCUGUAGAAGGAACAGAAUCAGAGCUGGAGAGGGAGAAUUGCUCCAUGGCCAUGAGUGGGUGUCCUCUCAAGCGGAGCCCCGAGUCCAGUAGAACUUGAGGCUUUUCGCCAACCCACGAAGUGCAGAUGGUAACGCUUGCUGUUGUGUCCCUGAGACUAUAUAGGGCCUAGUGUCUGGUUUAUGCCCUUGCACUGGGUCACUCUCACCCUGGAAUCACCCGGCUGGGGACUGAACCUCUCCUGCCACCACUCCAACUCCUCCUGAGACACUCACCUCCUAAGACACUCACCUCCUGGAAAGGCCACAUCUGUUUGCCAAGGACAGAGGCACCUUCUUUGGUCCAGAGAGCUGCAGGCUGUGGUUUAUUUCGCUGGCGACCUCUUCAUCACCAGGACUGUUCCAUAGAGUGCUGUGGUACCCGUGAAAGCCAAACUUCUAAGCUUCUCAAGUUCAAAUGAUAACUUCUCUCUGUUACCUUUUGUCAAGAAAACUUUGGAUUAUGAAUCUCCGUUAUGGGGGCUCAUAAAAUGAAUUGGGGUGCAUUCAUAGAGUUGGAACACUCUGGAGCCACUGAAAAGAAUGCGGCAAAGCUGUAAAAAGGAAAGAUGUCUGUGAUAUCAUCUAUAUUCUUUUAUGUUGUUAAGUGACAAAAUCCAGCUGUAGAGGAGCAUGAAUUGUUUUAUUCCAUGUUUAUUACAUAAUGAGUGUAGUGUCGGGAAAGCCAUAUACCAAAUUGUUCACAAUGGUUAUCUUGGGGGAGUGGAGCUUGGGAACUUGUACUCUUUGCUUGAUGCAUCUCUGCUUUGUCUCUCUCUUGAAUCAGCAUGAAUAAUUUUUUAAAAUUAGAAAACCUUCUUAUUAAUAUGGAGGUAAAUAUUGGGGCAGUCCAAGAUGGCAGCGGUCUCACGGUGAGGCCCUUGUUUUAUGGGAAGAACAUGAAGGUAGGAGUUUAAGAAACCCGAUUUUUCUCUUAACCAGGGGUUUUUCCUAAUUUUUUGUGCCAUGAUCCCUCAGGACAGUGUGAUGAAGUUUUUGGCUCCCUUCUCAGAACAAUGCCUUAGGGGCAUAACGUGAAAUACGUAGAAUUACAAAAGAAGCCAAAUAUAUUGAAAUAUAGUUAUCAAAAUACUUUUUAAAAAUUUUAUGAUAUAGUAAUAUAUGUGUAUUAAAAUAUAAGAUCUGGCUGCAGGUCUAAUAACGAUUUAAUUUAAAACUAGCCAUGAGCAUAAGUGAUAUUUUGAGAAAUCUGCAACAGCUGAAUAUUGCAUGAAAAUGUCUGUGACUUCUGGUGACAAAGUCAGAUGUGCUAGUGCUACUGUGGUUUGUCACCUUCUUCAUAAAUGAAGAAAAUGCUAGAUUGUAGUUAGAGGUAGUGAAAAUAAAGACGUAAUUUCCCAUCCAAUAUCAUAGAUCCCUGUUUAAAUUUCCCAGCCUAACAUCUAAUGUUCUUAACUGGCUGGGAAGUGUUGAAUAAUAUUGUUCCCGCCCUCACAGUCUCAACUGUUUCAUCAGUAAAAUGAGGGGCUAAGUGAUGGCAAAUGUGUAUGAUCUUACAUGUCAACUGUGAUUGAUUGGUAGUGACUUGGUGAGGCAUUUUGAGAUCACCUCUGAGUUCAAUUGGAAAGGAUGCCAAUUGGAAAGGAUGAAUGAUUGGUGAUGUCUGCCAUGGGUACUAGAUGGGGGAGAGAGCAAAGCGUGCAUGGCGUACAUGUCCAUUCCUUGACUAGAUGAGCCUGUGGCCCCUUCCACCUCUGAUAUUCUACUAUGUAUGAAAGUAAUUAUUCUCUUCUGAUUCUAAUUUAACAUAUCUCCUGUCCAACAACAAGAGCAACAACACAAGCAUUGGUUAGCCCUUCCUGGGGGCUUUGUGUGUGUGUGGCAUUGGCACUACCAACUCUACCCCUGUGGACCAAGUCUUCUGAUAGACUUUUUAUUAAGUAAAAUUGUAAGCAUUACCUCCAGUUUCAAUGAUAGAAUGGUUACUGGGAACAGAUUGUCUAGGAAGAAAACACAAAUUAGUAAACACAGUCUUACAAAUGAGCCAUCUGGAGAUUUAUUUACAUAAGAAAAGAGGAAGGACUUGGUAUUUUCAUGCUGGGGUUUGUUUCUCUUGCAAGUAGCCACAGGGGUGUAUUUAUCACGAGCACACAUUGAGCUUUUUAGUGAAGAUCACUGAAAGCAUGAAAAAAAAAUGCGCAUUUGGUUGGUUAUUUGGGAAAUGGGAAGGAAGAGAAGGGAGAGAGUAAGAGAGUCACACAUACACAUAUGCACACAAAGUUUUUGAAUGAAUUUUAGCAUAUAAGAUUUCAAAAUAGUUACAAUAUUUCACACCGUGCUUUUGAAAUUUUAUAUUAUUCCCAAAGUGCUAAAUGAGAAACAUUUUUCUAAAACAAUAUCAAAGGUGGAGGCAUUCAGCUAUCACGCAAAUAUAGAGGGGCCACGAAUAAUGCUGAGGGGACCAAAACCUUGACACCAGUUGACCAGCAGUGGGAACAGUGAUCCCUUGACCUCAGAGAGCUCCCUGGGUGUCAGACCAGCUCUGCAGAACCACUUAACCCCUCCUGCACCUUGUCCUUUUAUCCACUAAUACUAAAUGCCAAAAACUAAAAAACCCAAAUUUGUGAUACAGUGAUAUAUGUGCUCUUUCAAUGCAUUAAAAUACAAGAUCUAGCUGUAGGUCUGAUAACUACUAUCAUUUAGAAUUAGCAACGAGCCUAAGUGUUAUUUUGAGAAAUCUGCAACAACUGAAUGUUACGUGAAAACAUCUGUGGUUUCUACUGGUAAUAGAGUCAGAUAUGCUACUGAUGUGCACAGAUAUGCUAUUGCACUGUGCACUUACUGUGGAUCAGUGAAACAACAUAUCUGUAAGUGCACAGUGAAAUAGUUCUCCCUUCUUAGGAAUUUCGGCUACAUAACCUCUCUGGCUUUACGCUCGUACCAAGCCACCAGGAGUAUUCAUCAGAGCAAAGAAAGGAAGAUAGCACAGAGAAGAUAAAAGAGGGACAAGGAGGAUCCCAUAGGUGAAUGAACUCACCAAGCCCACUCUUUUCCCUCUACCCCUGCGUUAGAUGAAACCACACAGGUUCAAGUUGCAUUGCCUGCCGCACCUGCAAAGGGACAGCCUGGGUAAAAAUAGCCCCACUAUAUCUGGGCAAGCACUCUUUGGCCAAUAAAAUACUAAUAAUAAGACAACAGUUGGACUGACUUUACAGAAAGAUAGCUUUCUGCUUCUGGACUGGGCUGGGUUGUAAAGUAUCUUACAUGAUUGCUCUGGAAAUUGUAUAGCUCAGGGCAGCAAAUCUUUAUAGGGGCAAGAAGAGGCAAGACAGAAAGGGCUGAGCAGGUCUACUGCCUCAGGGCUCCUGAAGUCAGAAACCGCUGCAAAGAGGACAGGAAGUGAAGUUGGAAGUUUGAAGAGUGAAUGUAGCUGGAAGGCAGUCAGCAAUUCAGAGCCAUCAGCAUGGAAGAUAAUUACCUGCUGACAGGUCUCUGAUGUGUACCUGGAUGGGUGUGUGUGUGUAUGUGUGUGUGUGUGCAUGCACACAUGUGCAAGCUCUGGUUAACUGUGUCUCUGCAGGCAACUUAAGAGCAUAUUCCACACCCUGUAUCUGGGCAAGAGGCAGGAGGGCUCAUAAAUAAAGAUCCAGAACCCUAAA
This is a long non-coding RNA of Homo sapiens (human), 4279 nucleotides long. RefSeq lists it as uncharacterized. NCBI's taxonomy places the organism in Eukaryota, Metazoa, Chordata, Mammalia, Primates, Hominidae. The transcript is spliced from 2 exons. The record is from RefSeq and is a predicted model, not a curated record.